This is a non-coding RNA of Odocoileus virginianus texanus, 908 nucleotides long. NCBI's taxonomy places the organism in Eukaryota, Metazoa, Chordata, Mammalia, Artiodactyla, Cervidae. The record is from RefSeq and is a predicted model, not a curated record.
GAGCUGGUGAACACCCUGGGGCUGUGGCGUCCGGCUGGCCAAGGAUGGAAGAAAGGGAGAUCAGAGGAAGGGAGGUUGCGCCCUCUCCGAACCUCACCACUGACAAGGAAUUUCGAAUUCGGCCCUGAAGAACCCGAAGCCGCGUCAGCGCAUGGGCCACCAUCACCCACUGUGAGGUCAGGCCUGGCUCCAGGACCCGCUCACCCUCGCCCCGCGCCCCCCUAACCUCAGGCCUCCCCCGGAUCCCCUCUGCACCUCCUGAUGCUGACGCUCCAGGCAGUGCCCCCUCGCCACCUCUCCACCACUGCUUCGCACUCCUCUCCAGCCUGGGUGACCUUGUCCAUGGUCCCGGUAGUCUCCAUCGCCAAGGAAACCUCCCGCAGAGUGCCAUCCCCUGCCCCCGGUGCCGAUGGCUGGGGGGAGGGCGGGGGAGGAUGGUCUCUUUAAGGUUCCCCCCAGACCAGCUCCGGCCGUGUCUCCAAAGCGCCCCUCGUGGAUCCCAGGUCCACUACCGCCAUUGCUUCCACCCAGACACGUGGGGCUCCUCCAGACAUGAGAGGUCUUCUGGCUCUGUACCAGGUUGGAGGACAGGCCCCAUGGAGCCACCCUCAGAUGAGGGCUCCUGCGCAGCGUGUACUGUGGGCACCCCUCACCCCUCACCGUGUUCAAAGCGUCUGUGGUCUCACAUCAAGGGCGGGAGUUGUGUCUCCAUCCCAGAGGCUGAGUGAGAGCCCGGCACGUGGUAGGUGCUGUGAACCACGCUCUCUGCUUGCAACCCAGGGGAGGAGGGGCGAAGUGGACUUACGGAGUUUCAGAGACUCGUUACCAAAAGAAGUUCAUGUAGUGUAUCCCGUGAACGGUCUUUACAGUUAUUGCAUGUUGAAAUAUACUGGGUUGUGUGAAAUAUA